UUUUGUGCUUGAUUUCGUUUUUUUAACUGUAUUAGGUGAAAAUACUGAAAACAAGAAUCUAUCAAUAGAACGAUUUUCACAACUAAGAAAAUUCACUUGUUUCAUUUCUAACAAGUGUCUCAGUCCAGUGUACAAAUCCUACCGUUACACCCCCACGUCAGUAGGGGAAGACAGUGCCUCUGCUCUCAGGUGACCGAUUCAAGUCCUGUCCUGACUUCCGUUUACAACACCGGUACACACACCUGGCUAACAGGACAGACAAAAGAUCCGUUCGCUUGGUCCCAAAUUCGAACUGAAAUACUGCCAUUGACUAAAACCUAUGCUGACUACACUUCACCGACGGUGUUAUAACGCAAGGUAGGACGAAGAUACCAAGAAAGACAUUGUCGGCUGUCAACAGUAAAGACUUUCCUCUGCUCAAGACUGCUAGCCCGUAUGCUAACGCGGGAAACAAGUUAGCUGUCCACAGCUAGCUAAGCUGCUAACCCUAGUAUGGAGGAUACAUCAAAGUUGGCCACAGAGACUGAACCUUCCCACGGUGAUGUUUUAACCACCAUAAGGAACCUGGACAACAAGAUGAAUCCAUUCCACAAGCAAGAAAGCAUUUCAGGACAGAGCCCAUGAGGACCUCCAUUACCCGCAUGGCACAGCGGAUGGACACAUUUGAGGAAAAGAUGGAUGAGCUGCUCAUGCUCUUAAGGAGCUCCCAGUCACCUCCCUCUGCUCCAGUCGAUGACGUGUUGCUGUGUUGCUCAACAGUCAUCGAGCUGCAGGAGUUCAACAGGAGUCUCGGUCAACAGGAGAGGAGGAACAAAAUGCAACUUUUUCUGACAACCUUUCAACCAAUGACGUUGUAAAACCGUAUAGCCUGCAGAGCAGAAAGACAAAGGCCUUCCAGGACCUGACAAUCUGCAGGGUUAUAACAGGCAGGUGUUAUUUUAUUGUUCACAUCAGUAUUAUGCGUAGCUUGGCUGAUAAGGGGUUUUAAUUUGACUUGUAACUUUGCUUCUUC
Long non-coding RNA from Perca fluviatilis (European perch), 1012 nucleotides. RefSeq lists it as uncharacterized. The transcript is spliced from 4 exons. NCBI's taxonomy places the organism in Eukaryota, Metazoa, Chordata, Actinopteri, Perciformes, Percidae. The record is from RefSeq and is a predicted model, not a curated record.